RNAcentral lists this ribosomal RNA (252 nucleotides) under uncultured bacterium. Its description in RNAcentral is "partial 16S ribosomal RNA". It matches the Rfam family "Bacterial small subunit ribosomal RNA", at positions 524 to 776 of the family's 1533-position model. The record is from RNAcentral.
UACGUAGGUCCCGAGCGUUGUCCGGAUUUAUUGGGCGUAAAGCGAGCGCAGGUGGUUUAUUAAGUCUGGUGUAAAAGGCAGUGGCUCAACCAUUGUAUGCAUUGGAAACUGGUAGACUUGAGUGCAGGAGAGGAGAAUGGAAUUCCUAGUGUAGCGGUGAAAUGCGUAGAGAUUAGGAAGAACACCAGUGGCAAAGGCGAUUCUCUGGACUGUAACUGACGCUGAGGCUCGAAAGCGUGGGGAGCAAACAGG